UCAGUCACUAUGACCCAGUGCAGUAACUGAGACUUCUAGUUUAUCUACACUCCUUGCACUGAACCACAGUCCAGUGUGGGGAGGAAUGGAUUAGACACUAUGCAGACCAAGAUUUCUUCAAGGAUCUGCACAGACAGACAUUGUCUGAAUGGCUGGGCGGCUGCUGGAGGAGACUCAUCGUAUUGUGUACAGAUGUAGGAUUCUUUGCCGAGAAUGAAGCUUAGGAGAAACCAGUUUAUGGGUUUUUUAUCUGCAGCAUAAGCUGUUAUGACAUUUGAUCACUCUGACUACAUCACAGUUUCUGCCCUGGGAGGAUGAGAUAUUCCUCAUGUAAGGUAGUGGUGAUGAUGAUGAUGAUGAUGAUGAUGAUGAUGAUGAUGAUGAUGAUGAUGAUGAUACGCAAGAUCCUCUGCUGGAUUCUGACAGUGAUGACACUGAAGCACCAUGGAAGCAGAAGGAAAGUCAGUCUUUGAGUCAGUCAGCCUGGCUUGGCACAGUUAACUCAACACCUGACUUUUCUUUAAAAAGAUGGCUGCCCAAGAUAGCAGGUAAACAGCACUGGCAUUCAGUCUACCUUUUGGCUGAUCCAUUACAUGAUCCAACAGUCUUAAGUGGAUGGGCUGAUCCAUCACAUGAUCCAACAGUCUUUAAAAGUUUUUUUACAAGCCUGACCUGCCAAGUUCACAAGUACUUUCUCUGGAGAGUCAGCAUAAUUUUUAUGGCACAAGACGUUCCUAAUUCAGGUUGAUCCAAUUGCAGUGGCAUUUUGGUAAAUGACGUGGGACAUGCCUGUGCUGGAGAUUUUUCAUUUGACCAAACAUUUGAUCACUGAGUGACUAUACAGAAAGGCUUUUAAGAAGGUGCAAGUGUGGUGUUAUUUAAUUGCACUUGCCAUAGUUUUCAGUGUUUUAUACUGUUUUAAAGUAUUUAUGUGCUUACAGAGUAGUUUAUUCGGUUGUUUGUUUAAAACCUUGUUUAGUGCUAAUAUUUAAUUCAUCUGCCUUGUUUUAAUUAAUGCCAUGAGCCACUUUAAGUCCCAUUUGGGAGAAAUUUGUGUAAAUAAAUAAAUAAAUA
This is a long non-coding RNA of Sceloporus undulatus (fence lizard), 1074 nucleotides long. RefSeq lists it as uncharacterized. NCBI's taxonomy places the organism in Eukaryota, Metazoa, Chordata, Lepidosauria, Squamata, Phrynosomatidae. The record is from RefSeq and is a predicted model, not a curated record. The transcript has 3 exons.